Long non-coding RNA from Coffea arabica (coffee), 742 nucleotides. RefSeq lists it as uncharacterized. The record is from RefSeq and is a predicted model, not a curated record. NCBI's taxonomy places the organism in Eukaryota, Viridiplantae, Streptophyta, Magnoliopsida, Gentianales, Rubiaceae.
GGCAGCAUCGGCUUCUGUCUAGGUCACGCCCACAUGCUGAACUGACUCCGCCGAAAAGCUCGUCUGAGAGGUCAAGCCGGCAAGUUUGGGCCUGCGUUUGAACGGGAAAUGCGGGGACUGUGUUCGAAGAUGAAUAGUCUCCCGGCUUUAAUGGCUGAGCCGGCUGGGAGAGCAAGCCAGCAGAACAAACAUCAAAGGUGGAAAAUAGUAGAGGGAAGAUAACCAAGAAAGAUAACGAAAAGUGAAGGGGUUGAGGAGAAAGCUAAAAGGGGUGCUGAGAGCUAAGAAGGUUUUACUAGUUGAACGAGAAGAGGGAAAUGAAAGGAGAGGGCUAAAAGCAGGUUUGUUUUGUCGCUUUGUUUUUCUUUGUGGUUUGUUGAGUACUAUAAAGAAAUGUGGCUAGGGGUUGAGGAGGGCUCUGUCUAAUAUUCACAGGUUGAAGGAGCUAAAGGUUCACGCAAAUUAUUUCAUCAUACAAGCAGAUCCUGUUUUUUUUUUCAUAUAUAAAGAGAUUUAUUAUGUAAAAAAGAAGAAAAGAUUGGCUUAUGCAGUAUGCUCCUUCAAAAAAAAAAAAAGAUUGGCUUAUGCAUGUAACAUGUACAUUUCCAUCAAAGCUCUCAAGCUGUGUACCAUAUAAAAAUGGAUUUAGGACAGGCAAAGUUGAGGUUUUGGAUGGGAUUGCGCCCUUGUUGCAUAUUUUACAUGAAUUACGUGUAUUAAUUAUAUGCACAUAUUUUACUAA